RNAcentral lists this ribosomal RNA (449 nucleotides) under uncultured bacterium. RNAcentral's name for it is "partial 16S ribosomal RNA". It matches the Rfam family "Bacterial small subunit ribosomal RNA", at positions 29 to 523 of the family's 1533-position model. The record is from RNAcentral.
AGCGAACGCUGGCGGCAAGCUUAACACAUGCAAAUCGAACGAUGUAGCAAUACAUAGUGGCGGACGGGUGCAUAACACGUGGGAAUCUGCCUCUAGGUACGGAAUAACUCAGGGAAACUUGAGCUAAUACCGUAUAAAGUCUCCGGAUCAAAGAUUUAUCGCCUAAAGAUGAGCCCGCGUCAGAUUAGCUAGUUGGUGGGGUAACGGCCUACCAAGGCGACGAUCUGUAGCUGGUCUUAGAGGAUGAUCAGCCACACUGGGACUGAGACACGGCCCAGACUCCUACGGGAGGCAGCAGUGGGGAAUAUUGGACAAUGGGGGAAACCCUGAUCCAGCUAUGCCGCGUGAGUGAUGAAGGCCUUAGGGUUGUAAAGCUCUUUUAGAUGGGAAGAUAAUGACGGUACCAUCAGAAAAAGCCCCGGCUAACUUCGUGCCAGCCGCCGCGGUAA